Molecule: ribosomal RNA, 468 nt
Filed under: uncultured bacterium
Lineage: Bacteria
Description: partial 16S ribosomal RNA
Rfam family: Bacterial small subunit ribosomal RNA
Source: RNAcentral
GACGAACGCUGGCGGCGUGCUUAACACAUGCCAGUCGAACGGAAAGGCCCUGCUUUUGUGGGGUGCUCGAGUGGCGAACGGGUGAGUAACACGUGAGUAACCUGCCCUUGACUUUGGGAUAACUUCAGGAAACUGGGGCUAAUACCGGAUAGGAGCUCCUGCUGCAUGGUGGGGGUUGGAAAGUUUCGGCGGUUGGGGAUGGACUCGCGGCUUAUCAGCUUGUUGGUGGGGUAGUGGCUUACCAAGGCUUUGACGGGUAGCCGGCCUGAGAGGGUGACCGGCCACAUUGGGACUGAGAUACGGCCCAGACUCCUACGGGAGGCAGCAGUGGGGAAAUUUGCACAAUGGGCGGAAGCCUGAUGCAGCAACGCCGCGUGCGGGAUGACGGCCUUCGGGUUGUAAACCGCUUUCGCCUGUGACGAAGCGUGAGUGACGGUAAUGGGUAAAGAAGCACCGGCUAACUACGUG